Molecule: ribosomal RNA, 502 nt
Filed under: uncultured bacterium
Lineage: Bacteria
Description: bacterial SSU rRNA
Rfam family: Bacterial small subunit ribosomal RNA
Source: RNAcentral
GAUCAUGGCUCAGAUUGAACGCUGGCGGCAGGCCUAACACAUGCAAGUCGAACGGUAACAGGAAACAGCUUGCUGUUUCGCUGACGAGUGGCGGACGGGUGAGUAAUGUCUGGGAAACUGCCUGAUGAGGGGGAUAACUACUGGAAACGGUAGCUAAUACCGCAUAACGUCGCAAGACCAAAGAGGGGGACCCUCGGGCCUCUUGCCAUCGGAUGUGCCCAGAUGGGAUUAGCUUGUUGGUGGGGUAACGGCUCACCAAGGCGACGAUCCCUAGCUGGUCUGAGAGGAUGACCAGCCACACUGGAACUGAGACACGGUCCAGACUCCUACGGGAGGCAGCAGUGGGGAAUAUUGCACAAUGGGCGCAAGCCUGAUGCAGCCAUGCCGCGUGUAUGAAGAAGGCCUUCGGGUUGUAAAGUACUUUCAGCGGGGAGGAAGGGAGUAAAGUUAAUACCUUUGCUCAUUGACGUUACCCGCAGAAGAAGCACCGGCUAACUCCGUG